RNAcentral lists this unclassified non-coding RNA (240 nucleotides) under soil metagenome. RNAcentral describes it as "partial contains 5.8S ribosomal RNA, internal transcribed spacer 2, and large subunit ribosomal RNA". The record is from RNAcentral.
AACCUUAUGGACCUGCGGGCGUAUACCUGCGGAGGGAUCAUUACAAGUUGAAACGGUUGCCCUCGCGGUGACCGGUUCUUCAAACCUCUGCGUACCAAACCUUUCAGUUGCCUCCGGCGGCCCUGGGCCGACGCGGCGCGCGACCUCCCCGUUCGCGGGGGGGCCGCUCCUCGCGGCGGACCACCCGCCGGGCGGCCGUAAACAAAACCUUUUGUCGAGAUGGCAUCGUCUAAUUUCUUC